GCGGUGCGCCUUAUGCAUGCAAGUCGAGCGAAGCUUUUCAGUAGUUUACUACAGAAAAUGACUGAGCGGCGAACGGGUGAGUAACGCGUGAGCAAUCUACCUUAGUUACAGGGAUAGCCCGAGGAAACUCGGAUUAAUACCUGAUAUUCUUUAUUUCUCGCAUGAGAAUAAAAGGAAAGGUCAGCCGAACUAAGAUGAGCUCGCGUUCUAUCAGCUAGUUGGUGAGGUAAAAGCUUACCAAGGCUACGACGGAUAGCUGGUCUGAGAGGACGAUCAGCCACACUGGGACUGAGACACGGCCCAGACUCCUACGGGAGGCUGCAGCAGGGAAUAUUGUGCAAUGAACGAAAGUUUGACACAGCGACACCGCGUGUGGGAUGACGGAUCUAGGUUUGUAAACCACUUUCAGGAGGGAAGAAAAUGACGGUACCUCCACAAGAAGCCCCGGCCAACUACGUGCCAGCAGCCGCGGUAAUACGUAGGGGGCGAGCGUUGUCCGGAUUUAUUGGGCGUAAAGAGCUCGUAGGCGGUUCAACAAGUCGGUCGUGAAAGUUCAGGGCUCAACCCUGAAAUGUCGAUCGAUACUGUUGUGACUAGGAUACGGUAGAGGUGAGUGGAAUUCCGAGUGUAGCGGUGAAAUGCGUAGAUAUUCGGAGGAACACCAAUUGCGAAGGCAGCUCACUGGACCGCUAUCGACGCUGAGGAGCGAAAGCUAGGGGAGCAAACAGGAUUAGAUACCCUGGUAGUCCUAGCUGUAAACGAUGGAUACUAGACGUAGGAACUGGAUUGACGGUUUCUGUGUCGUAGCUAACGCGUUAAGUAUCCCGCCUGGGGAGUACGGUCGCAAGACUAAAACUCAAGGAAUUGACGGGACCCCGCACAAGCGGCGGAGCAUGCGGCUUAAUUCGAUGAUACCCGUAGAACCUUACCUGG
This 933-nucleotide ribosomal RNA is filed under the name uncultured Actinomycetes bacterium. RNAcentral's name for it is "bacterial SSU rRNA". It matches the Rfam family "Bacterial small subunit ribosomal RNA", at positions 39 to 978 of the family's 1533-position model. The record is from RNAcentral. Lineage: Bacteria; Bacillati; Actinomycetota; Actinomycetes.